UGGUUCUGGCAUCGAUGAAGAACGCAGCGAAAUGCGAUAAGUAAUGUGAAUUGCAGAAUUCAGUGAAUCAUCGAAUCUUUGAACGCACAUUGCGCCCACCAGUAUUCUGGUGGGCAUGCCUGUUCGAGCGUCAUUUCAACCCUCAAGCCCUGCCGCUUGGUGUUGGGAGACUACGUCUGUAGCUCCCCAAAGUUAGUGGCGGAGUCGGUAUCGGCCCUGAGCGUAGUAGUUACAUCUCGCUUCUGAGCCGUGCAGUCCCCUGCCGUAAAACCCCCCAAUUCUCAAAGGUUGACCUCGGAUCAGGUAGGAAUACCCGCUGA
This 320-nucleotide unclassified non-coding RNA is filed under the name uncultured fungus. RNAcentral's name for it is "partial contains 5.8S ribosomal RNA and internal transcribed spacer 2". The stretch from base 1 to 133 matches the Rfam family "5.8S ribosomal RNA", at positions 22 to 154 of the family's 154-position model. Lineage: Eukaryota; Fungi. The record is from RNAcentral.